This 320-nucleotide ribosomal RNA is filed under the name uncultured eukaryote. Its description in RNAcentral is "partial 18S ribosomal RNA". It matches the Rfam family "Eukaryotic small subunit ribosomal RNA", at positions 1470 to 1796 of the family's 1831-position model. The record is from RNAcentral.
CCCCUAGAUGUUCUGGGCCGCACGCGCGCUACACUGAACAGUUCAACAAGUCUUAACCUUGGCCGAUAGGUCUGGGUAAUCUUUGAACGCUGUUCGUGAUUGGGAUAGACCUUUGCAAUUAUGGGUCUUCAACGAGGAAUUCCUAGUAAACGCAAGUCAUCAGCUUGCAUUGAUUACGUCCCUGCCCUUUGUACACACCGCCCGUCGCACCUACCGAUUGAGUGGUCCGGUGAAAUCUCGGGACGGCGGCUUGGUCGCUUGCGUCCGACUGCUGAAACUUGAUUAAACCAUAUCAUUUAGAGGAAGGUGAAGUCGUANCA